Leopardus geoffroyi (Geoffroy's cat) is the source of this 539-nucleotide long non-coding RNA. RefSeq lists it as uncharacterized. NCBI's taxonomy places the organism in Eukaryota, Metazoa, Chordata, Mammalia, Carnivora, Felidae. The transcript is spliced from 5 exons. The record is from RefSeq and is a predicted model, not a curated record.
CUCAGGUCCCACUCAAAAUAAUUUUUCAUUGUUUCAGCCAUUCCGCCUAAGAGAAGGUUAAGAAGAUAAUUGGCAAUGCCGUCAGGAGGUUUGGCUGUCUUCUGAAAUUCCCUGGGCCAGUGAUGGGUGACAAUAACCACCCAGUUGCACAAACUUCAAAUCCAGGUUUCUGUUAAAGUGCAUUCUUGAUGAGGUUGCUGAAGUAUUCAAUUAACCAUUCCUCAGACUACAAUACAUCUGAACUUCCAGGAAUAUGACUUACUAAGGUUACUAUUGUAAAAAAGUGGAAAGCUUUUCAGAUUGAUGUCAUACAUUUAAUUAUCUCAUAUCCUGAUCAAGAACUGCCCUUACAAGUAUAGGAGACUGUUGGUUUGCAACUAAACUUGCAGAAACCUUGAUUAUGGAAUGCCUGCUCUGUGAAACAGCUCUUCUGGGUGGUGGUGAUAAAUAGAUACAAGGCCUGGCAUUUUCCUCCAGAGGCUCACAUUGUGCUUGCUGAACAAUCAUACGCGGUGUGCAAAGCAGAGAGAGAUUAAGCG